UACGUAGGGGGCAAGCGUUGUCCGGAAUCAUUGGGCGUAAAGAGCGCGUAGGCGGUCCGGUAAGUCCGCUGUGAAAGUCAAGGGCUCAACCCUUGAAUGCCGGUGGAUACUGUCGGGCUAGAGUCCGGAAGAGGCGAGUGGAAUUCCCGGUGUAGCGGUGAAAUGCGCAGAUAUCGGGAGGAACACCAAUUGCGAAGGCAGCUCGCUGGGACGUUACUGACGCUGAGACGCGAAAGCGUGGGGAGCAAACAGG
RNAcentral lists this ribosomal RNA (253 nucleotides) under uncultured bacterium. RNAcentral describes it as "partial 16S ribosomal RNA". It matches the Rfam family "Bacterial small subunit ribosomal RNA", at positions 524 to 776 of the family's 1533-position model. The record is from RNAcentral.